AGUGGAGCCUGCGGCUUAAUUUGACUCAACACGGGAAACCUCACCAGGCCCGGACACCGGAAGGAUUGACAGAUUGAGAGCUCUUUCUUGAUUCGGUGGGUGGUGGUGCAUGGCCGUUCUUAGUUGGUGGAGCGAUUUGUCUGGUUAAUUCCGAUAACGAACGAGACUCUAGCCUGCUAACUAGGCGUAUUUCGACAUCCCAAAGGCCCGCCGGUUUGGGGUUCCGACUCCUUUCCGCGCGCGGUUUUUACUGUCGGCGUACAAACAAUUCUUCUUAGAGGGACAGGCGGCUUCUAGCCGCACGAGAUUGAGCAAUAACAGGUCUGUGAUGCCCUUAGAUGUUCUGGGCCG
RNAcentral lists this ribosomal RNA (351 nucleotides) under Priotyrannus closteroides. Its description in RNAcentral is "SSU rRNA". It matches the Rfam family "Eukaryotic small subunit ribosomal RNA", at positions 1175 to 1489 of the family's 1831-position model. RNAcentral also lists the same sequence under 1 other name. The record is from RNAcentral. Lineage: Eukaryota; Metazoa; Arthropoda; Insecta; Coleoptera; Cerambycidae.